UUGCUUGUUACUGAAAUUUUUCCGAAUUCUUAAAAAAAAUGUGAUGUAAUGUUAAUGAAGCUGUGAGUCACAAAACGUACUCGGAUGAAAAUAAGGAUCCGAGUAUUGUACAGUAGCUUCUUUGUUAAGAACAAUUGAAAAUCUGGAACUAUAUUACGAAUUGGUACAAGAUUUUUAGAAAGUGGCCCCAUUUUCACAAGAGUGGAAUUUUAAGUAAUGAAUGCACCAUAAGAAUAUAUGUGUUUCAUAAGAAUAUAUUUUCUGAUAGAAAUAUGGGCGUUUUGUCAUUUCCGACUGGGUGCACCUUUUGAAAUACUUUGCUCUCGUUGCUCAAGUGUUAUCCUUCACUUCCGUGUGGGAAGAAAACAAAUCAAGUAAGAAACUAGUACUAAAACUACAUUGGCUGCAACAAACAUAUAUAAUGUGGUUCUAUGAUUUUAUAUUGACUUAAAAAACGUUAAUAAACGUGUGUAUAUAUUUAUAAUGGGCUACUUACGAAGAUACUUUCAUGUGUUACAUAUAACACAUGUAUGUAUGCAUUCCAAUUAAGUUUAAUUGUGGUUACACAACUGUUGACAAGGAGAAUUGGAGAUUAUUCCUGAAAGAGAUUAUUGAAAGAAUGAGAGACUGAAUAUAUUCUCCAAGAGCUCUAGAGACAAUAUAACAGAAGCAUCUAAAUCGAUUGAUGUGCGUGUGAACACAUGGGUUCCAUUUAAUCAAUCGGUAGCUGCAUAGUAAACGACAGUCGACUUACGC
Molecule: long non-coding RNA, 756 nt
Organism: Teleopsis dalmanni
Lineage: Eukaryota; Metazoa; Arthropoda; Insecta; Diptera; Diopsidae
Exons: 3
Source: RefSeq, a predicted model, not a curated record